RNAcentral lists this ribosomal RNA (566 nucleotides) under uncultured bacterium. RNAcentral's name for it is "bacterial SSU rRNA". It matches the Rfam family "Bacterial small subunit ribosomal RNA", at positions 55 to 610 of the family's 1533-position model. The record is from RNAcentral.
AUGCAAGUCGAGCGGUAACAGAGAGUAGCUUGCUACUCUGCUGACGAGCGGCGGACGGGUGAGUAAUGCUUGGGAAUAUGCCUUAUGGUGGGGGACAACAGUUGGAAACGACUGCUAAUACCGCAUGAUGUCUACGGACCAAAGUGGGGGACCUCCGGGCCUCACGCCAUAAGAUUAGCCCAAGUGGGAUUAGCUAGUUGGUGAGGUAAUGGCUCACCAAGGCGACGAUCCCUAGCUGGUUUGAGAGGAUGAUCAGCCACACUGGGACUGAGACACGGCCCAGACUCCUACGGGAGGCAGCAGUGGGGAAUAUUGCACAAUGGGCGCAAGCCUGAUGCAGCCAUGCCGCGUGUGUGAAGAAGGCCUUCGGGUUGUAAAGCACUUUCAGUAAGGAGGAAAGGUUAAGUGUUAAUAGCACUUAGCUGUGACGUUACUUACAGAAGAAGCACCGGCUAACUCCGUGCCAGCAGCCGCGGUAAUACGGAGGGUGCGAGCGUNAAUCGGAAUUACUGGGCGUAAAGCGUACGCAGGCGGUUUGUUAAGCGAGAUGUGAAAGCCCCGGGCUC